Micropterus dolomieu (smallmouth bass) is the source of this 456-nucleotide long non-coding RNA. RefSeq lists it as uncharacterized. The transcript has 3 exons. Lineage: Eukaryota; Metazoa; Chordata; Actinopteri; Centrarchiformes; Centrarchidae. The record is from RefSeq and is a predicted model, not a curated record.
CUAAAGUAUCCAACAGAGAAACGUGUGACCGCGCGUUGCCGACUCUGCUGGAGGACGAGCACAGUGUGACGAGCGGAGAGCAGUGCGAUGCAGCGGCUCACAUCAGGGCUUCCACUGUGACAGCAUCAUUGUCUCUGAUGAGGACUGCACUCCAGAGCCGAGCACAGACCGGGACAAGACCGGGAUCGAGGUGAAGUAGAGGAGGGAGGGCAGCCAGGGUCCGUGGAAGAAGAGGCAGGACGGGAAGGACGAGGUGCAAGCCGAGCAGCACAUACCUGCGUCGAGCUUCACACUCUAACAACGGCAUAUGAACAGACCAGAAUCUGAGCACUGUUGACAACAUCCAGACUACUGGGUUUCCAUGCACCACACAUGGCUGAUCUUCCAGACCCAGGACAGAGUAACAGACAGUUCAGUCAGGCAGCAUACAGACAGGUUGUAGUGUGGCAGUGUGGA